Molecule: ribosomal RNA, 440 nt
Filed under: uncultured bacterium
Lineage: Bacteria
Description: partial 16S ribosomal RNA
Rfam family: Bacterial small subunit ribosomal RNA
Source: RNAcentral
CCUACGGGAGGCAGCAGUGGGGGAUAUUGCACAAUGGGGGGAACCCUGAUGCAGCGACGCCGCGUGGGUGAAGAAGCGCCUCGGCGCGUAAAGCUCUGUCAGCAGGGAAGAAAAUGACGGUACCUGAAGCAGAAGCCCCGGCUAACUACGUGCCAGCAGCCGCGGUAAUACGUAGGGGGCAAGCGUUAUCCGGAUUUACUGGGUGUAAAGGGGGCGCAGACGGCGAUGCAAGCCAGGAGUGAAAGCCCGGGGCCCAACCCCGGGACUGCUCUUGGAACUGCGUGGCUGGAGUGCAGGAGGGGCAGGCGGAAUUCCUGGUGUAGCGGUGAAAUGCGUAGAUAUCAGGAGGAACACCGGUGGCGAAGGCGGCCUGCUGGACUGCAACUGACGUUGAGGCCCGAAAGCGUGGGGAGCAAACAGGAUUAGAUACCCCAGUAGUC